RNAcentral lists this ribosomal RNA (207 nucleotides) under uncultured bacterium. Its description in RNAcentral is "partial 16S ribosomal RNA". It matches the Rfam family "Bacterial small subunit ribosomal RNA", at positions 568 to 774 of the family's 1533-position model. The record is from RNAcentral.
CGUGUAGGCAGCUUUUUAAGUCUGAAGUGAAAGUCCUGCUUUCAAGGUGGGAAUUGCUUUGGAGACUGGAAGGCUUGAGUGCGGAAGAGGUAAGUGGAAUUCCCAGUGUAGCGGUGAAAUGCGUAGAGAUUGGGAGGAACACCAGUGGCGAAGGCGACUUACUGGGCCGUAACUGACGCUGAGGCGCGAAAGCGUGGGGAGCGAACA